Molecule: ribosomal RNA, 250 nt
Filed under: uncultured bacterium
Lineage: Bacteria
Description: partial 16S ribosomal RNA
Rfam family: Bacterial small subunit ribosomal RNA
Source: RNAcentral
UACGGAGAGUGCAAACGUUGUUCGGAAUCAUUGGGCGUAAAGCGCGCGUAGGCGGCCAGGAAGGUCGGGUGUGAAAUCCCGGGGCUCAACCCCGGAACUGCGCCCGAAACCACUUGGCUUGAGUUCCUGAGGGAGAAGUGGAAUUCCUGGUGUAGAGGUGAAAUUCGUAGAGAUCAGGAGGAACACCGGUGGCGAAGGCGACUUCUUGGCAGGAUACUGACGCUGAGGCGCGAAAGCGUGGGGAGCAAAC